This 565-nucleotide ribosomal RNA is filed under the name uncultured Actinomycetes bacterium. RNAcentral describes it as "bacterial SSU rRNA". It matches the Rfam family "Bacterial small subunit ribosomal RNA", at positions 1 to 570 of the family's 1533-position model. The record is from RNAcentral. Lineage: Bacteria; Bacillati; Actinomycetota; Actinomycetes.
GCCCUUAGAGUUUGAUCCUGGCUCAGGACGAACGCUGGCGGCGUGCUUAACACACGCAAGUCGAGCGGUAAGGCCCUUCGGGGUACACGAGCGGCGAACGGGUGAGUAACACGUGAGCAACCUGCCCCUGACUCUGGGAUAAGCGGUGGAAACGCCGUCUAAUACCGGAUACGACCUUCCACCUCAUGGUGGAGGGUGGAAAGUUUUUUCGGUCAGGGAUGGGCUCGCGGCCUAUCAGCUUGUUGGUGGGGUAACGGCCUACCAAGGCGAUUACGGGUAGCCGGCCUGAGAGGGCGACCGGCCACACUGGGACUGAGACACGGCCCAGACUCCUGCGGGAGGCAGCAGUGGGGAAUAUUGCGCAAUGGGCGAAAGCCUGACGCAGCGACGCCGCGUGGGGGAUGACGGCCUUCGGGUUGUAAACCUCUUUUACCACCAACGCAGGCUCCGGGUUCUCUCGGGGUUGACGGUAGGUGGGGAAUAAGGACCGGCUAACUACGUGCCAGCAGCCGCGGUAAUACGUAGGGUCCGAGCGUUGUCCGGAAUUAUUGGGCGUAAAGAGCUC